RNAcentral lists this non-coding RNA (101 nucleotides) under bovine gut metagenome. RNAcentral's name for it is "THF riboswitch". It matches the Rfam family "THF (Tetrahydrofolate) riboswitch aptamer". Rfam says of the family: THF riboswitch presents a pseudoknot that joins P1-P2 and the loop of P3 and two THF binding. The record is from RNAcentral.
CAGAGUAGGUCGGUUCGUGUCGAGUGCCGCCGGGACGGGGAGUUGCCGGGCGGACGAAGAACGGUGAACGCCGUCACAGUGAACCGCCCGCAUCCCGCUGU